GACGAACGCUGGCGGCGUGCUUAACACAUGCAAGUCGAACGGUAAGGCCCUUCGGGGUACACGAGUGGCGAACGGGUGAGUAACACGUGGGUGAUCUGCCCUGCACUUCGGGAUAAGCCUGGGAAACUGGGUCUAAUACCGGACAGGACUCCGGACCGCAUGGUCCGGGGUGGAAAGCUUUUGCGGUGUGGGAUGGGCCCGCGGCCUAUCAGCUUGUUGGUGGGGUGAUGGCCUACCAAGGCGACGCCGGGUAGCCGGCCUGAGAGGGUGACCGGCCACACUGGGACUGAGAUACGGCCCAGACUCCUACGGGAGGCAGCAGUGGGGAAUAUUGCACAAUGGGCGCAAGCCUGAUGCAGCGACGCCGCGUGAGGGAUGACGGCCUUCGGGUUGUAAACCUCUUUCAGCAUCGACGAAGCGAAAGUGACGGUAGGUGCAGAAGAAGGACCGGCCAACUACGUGCCAGCCGCCGCCGUAA
This 478-nucleotide ribosomal RNA is filed under the name uncultured bacterium. RNAcentral describes it as "partial 16S ribosomal RNA". It matches the Rfam family "Bacterial small subunit ribosomal RNA", at positions 28 to 523 of the family's 1533-position model. The record is from RNAcentral.